This 253-nucleotide ribosomal RNA is filed under the name uncultured bacterium. RNAcentral's name for it is "partial 16S ribosomal RNA". It matches the Rfam family "Bacterial small subunit ribosomal RNA", at positions 524 to 776 of the family's 1533-position model. The record is from RNAcentral.
CACAGAGGUCUCAAGCGUUGUUCGGAUUCAUUGGGCGUAAAGGGUGCGUAGGCGGCGCGGUAAGUCGGGUGUGAAAUCUCGGAGCUUAACUCCGAAACUGCAUUCGAUACUGCCGUGCUUGAGGACUGGAGAGGAGACUGGAAUUUACGGUGUAGCGGUGAAAUGCGUAGAUAUCGUAAGGAAGACCAGUGGCGAAGGCGGGUCUCUGGACAGUUCCUGACGCUGAGGCACGAAGGCCAGGGGAGCAAACGGG